Molecule: ribosomal RNA, 253 nt
Filed under: uncultured bacterium
Lineage: Bacteria
Description: partial 16S ribosomal RNA
Rfam family: Bacterial small subunit ribosomal RNA
Source: RNAcentral
UACAGAGGUCUCGAGCGUUGUUCGGAAUCACUGGGCGUAAAGGGCGCGUAGGCUGCAUGGUAAGUCAGAGGUGAAAUCCCGGAGCUCAACUUCGGAAUUGCCUCCGAUACUGCCGUGCUUGAGGACUGGAGAGGAGUCUGGAAUUCACAGUGGAGCAGUGAAAUGCGUAGAUAUUGUGAGGAACACUAGUUGCGAAGGCGAGACUCUGGACAGUUCCUGACGCUGAGGCACGAAGGCCAGGGGAGCAAACGGG